This 69-nucleotide transfer RNA is filed under the name Phylloscopus schwarzi. RNAcentral's name for it is "tRNA-Pro". It matches the Rfam family "tRNA". From Rfam's summary of the family: Transfer RNA (tRNA) molecules are approximately 80 nucleotides in length. The record is from RNAcentral. Lineage: Eukaryota; Metazoa; Chordata; Aves; Passeriformes; Phylloscopidae.
CAGGGGGUAGUUUAAUUAGAAUGCCAGCUUUGGGAGUUGGUGAUGAAGGUUUGAUUCCUUUCCCCUUGA